UGAAACUCUAGAACUUGCUUAAUUUCUUUUCAAAGUCACAAUAACACUUGUGUGCAUGGAAAUUGAGGAUUUUAUCGAUUUUGUUCCCCUUCAUACUUUCCAAUUCCUUUCUCCAUAAUUUUCUUCCAAUAUUUUUAUCUAGCAUUUUAACCCUUGAUCACUUUGCCUUGCCUUCAUUCCAUUAGAAGUUUUGGUUGAAUUCUUGAUGAGUUGGAUUGACUAGAUGAACAAAGAUUGAAGUGUGGGGGAGGUGUUGAGAAGGAGUUUGGAAAAUGUGAAGGAAUGAAUGGUAUUCUUGCAUCAUUCACCUCUACAAAUUUAAAAUCCAAUUACUGAAAAGAUGAAGCAGUGAGGACCAUUGACAUUAAAAGAAGGCUGAUGCUGGAUGAAGAAGCAGAAAUUGAAGUGCAGGGCUGAAAAGUUUGUAUCAGGUUUGUAUCAAAAAUUAGAAUUCAAUAUCCAAACGAGUGGAAGCUUAGUUGGAAAGUGAAGAGAAGAUGCAGAAACUGUGAAGUUGUGGAUUGCCAGAGCUGCUGAAAUGGAAUGUUGGAGAAAAUAGCUGCUAACACAAUUCAUUUUAACACUGCAAGAGGGAGUGGUAAUGACAUUGGUUAGUGAUUUAAAGGGCUGAAUUUUGGUGGAUGAGAAGAGAAAAAGAAAACAGUGAUAGCUCUCGAGUUGUGAAGUGAUAUUCAAUUCAAGAAAUGGAGUAUCAAAUCUGAAAUUGAACAAUGGAAACAAAGAGGAAGAUUGCUGGAAUGACAGGAAUGAAUAUAGUGCAGAAUUCAUGAAGUGCGGAUUUUGCAGGAAUAGGGCAGUUUUGUGCCAAAUUGGGAAAUGGACUGAAGCAUGUAGAGUUACUGAAACCUGUAAACUUCUCAUUCAUGUAUUGUAAAGGGUUCUUAAGAGACAAGAUGAAGGAGAAUUAAAAUUUCUUGUGGCUAAACAUGAUAGAUUGAUACAAAGUUCAGCACUAAGACAAACUGAAAUCAGAGCAUCCUGCUUUGGGGAAACAGAACAGUCUUGUGCCAAGGAGAAAUCUGCUGAUUUGUGCCAAACUUUCUGGUUAUUCAAAUCUGAAAUGAGGGGAAUUUAAGUCAUCUUGAUUCAUCAUUAAAUGAGCUAUCUUCAAAGGCUUAUUAGCUAGGAAAACUUGGAUGGAAUGUAUUGGAAUAGAAUCAGCAAAUUAAAGGACAGAAUUCUGAUUACUGAAACAGAAAUUGCUGAAAACAGAAAUUUAGAGUCAAAUGAAGCUCUGUUGGGUGCAGAAACAACUGGUAGAUAAGUCUUUCCAUGAUUUAUUCGAACUUUAUACUUUAAUAGUAAAGGAUUUGAAUUGUGGAAAUAAGGAAUAAAUUGAAGAGAAGAGAUUGCAGCUGCAAAGGGGAGUCGAAUUGAGAUCUUUGACAGUGGAAUAUAAAAGAACAAUGGAACACAGAAUUCACAAGUUACAGAUUUCUGCAAUCUAUUAUCUGUUCAUCUAGUUUUGAAUAUGUGACUUCAAGAAUUGUUGAAAGCAAGAUGCUGCUGAACUUGAAUCCUUAGGUCUUUAAAUUUGUUUGCUGCAAUUUUAGAAGUAGUUCUUGGAGUUCAAUUCAAGGAUUUGAAAUAUGUUGCUGCUGAAAAAGUUUAAUUACUGAUUUCUCAGCAGUGCCUAAUUCGUGCACCAAUUGAAAUAAUGCUGGAGAAGGAUUCAGAGCCUGGAAGUAUGCAAACUUUAAAUGCUGCUGAGCUAAAUUCUUCAAUUCCAACUCUGAAACUUAAAGCUUUAAUUCUGGGAGUUCUGAUUUCUGGUCUUAAAUUUCAUAUUGUGAGACAAAGAAGAAAUAUGGAAUACAAUCAGAAACAGAUAUUGAUAUGAAUUCUGAAUAGUUUCAUGUUGUUUCUUAUCAGAAUAUGAACUUUAAUUGAGAUAUGAGUUCAUAAGUUUCAGAGCUAGAAUUUAAAUUCAAUAGGAGCUUCAAAAGCCAGAUUUCUGAAGUUGGAAACUAAACUUCAAUUCUAAAUUGCUACUGGAGUUUAAUUAGUGUUCUAUCAAUGCAAUAGAAAUGCAAUUAUCAAUUGAAUUGAAAUAGAGUGUCAGCUGUUUAAGACAUCAGUUCAAAAAAAUAUAAAGUUUCAGAAACAAGAUGCUGAAAUCUGCUGGAAACUGAUAUAAUUCUGCAGUCUGGAAAUUGGUAACUGAAAUUACAUUUAUGGAAAGUCUAAAUCUAAACUGAAUUCUUGUGCUAUUGCAGGGAAAGUGGUUAAAUAUUGCUGCAAACUAAGAGUAAGAGGAUAUAGAAAUUUUAAGAGGAAAGUAUGUAGCUGCAAAUAGAUAUUGAAAUCUGAAUUCUAUAGAAUUUGCAGAAAUCUGAAUGGUUUGGUUACUCGAGUUCCAAAAACCUGCAGCAGGAAGAAAUACACAGAAAAAAAAAUAGAAUAAAAAAUUCUGCGAGUUUCAAGUAUUGGAAACCUAUGAUGAGAUUCCCUUGUCCGAGACGGCCAAGAUUUUAAGUGUGGGGGAGGGACAUCUUCUUCAUGAUGUGAGUUUGUUUCAGCUUCAAGAUUCUGAAAUUGAAGUGUGAAAAAAAAAAAAACAGAAAAGAGAAAAAUGGCAAAUCAAGAGUGUAUCAAGUGUG
Zingiber officinale is the source of this 2621-nucleotide long non-coding RNA. RefSeq lists it as uncharacterized. NCBI's taxonomy places the organism in Eukaryota, Viridiplantae, Streptophyta, Magnoliopsida, Zingiberales, Zingiberaceae. The record is from RefSeq and is a predicted model, not a curated record. The transcript is spliced from 2 exons.